AGCGACUCAAAGCCGGAGAUCGCGGUGCAAAGUUUCACCACCUCCAAGGUAGUCGCACAUUAACCUCUUUUUCAAACACAGAAGACUUGGGGAUCCGUUUGUGCAAGAACGUACAAUACUACUACAAGACGUUUGAAAUUCCCUCCUGAAUCUCUGUCACAUCACGGCACCAUAAUCUGCAAACUGGGAAUGUUGUCCUCAAAGACACGCACAUCCUCCAACGUCGACGGCACGUUGAGUAUUUUUUGUGUGCCUCUGCUCUGUCCUAUGUCUUGCGCAAAUAAACAAAUAAACAAAAAUAAAAAAGAAAGAAAAAAUUGUAAUAAAUUUUUAUGGGUGGGAUUCAUUUGGCAAAAUACAAUUGUAAUAUAUGAUAUAAUUCCCACAUGUUUGUAUGUUGAUUCAUUGUAUUUAGAACACCACUCUUUAUUUGUUCUGCCACUCUCAGAAGGGGUUCCUCGAUUUUUAACCCCUGGGAGGUCAUGCAUUUCCUUGAACUAACAAAAAUUAUAUUAUUUCAUUACUUUAAAAAUGUCUUGUGUUAGAUUUCUUUGAGAUUCCUUUAUUAUUGCAGUAGUGAGCCCCACAAAGUAUAUUUUUAGGACUAGAGCAGAAAAUGUGGUGAUUUGAAACAGCCUCUCGACUUUCCUUUCAACAGUGUGAUUCAUUGAUAUGAAAGGCUACAAAAUCAUUGAAAAAAGGUCACAUUUCGUUUGCUUGGACUGUUUGUUUUCAUAUUGAUACAAAAUGAAAAACUGCAAACAAUGAAAAAUGUUCUUCCUAAAAUCAGUAGUUGGGUUUGUACAAAAAAAAAACCUCAGAUCGAAAUGAAGUUUUUCCAGUAGAUUUUUAACAUUGUUUUUGCUGUGUUGUGACUGAAUGGGUAACAUACUGUACAGUUACAGAUGCCAAGGAGUUUGAGUGAUCGAUCCAGCUGGUUUAUAAAACCCUGUUUGCGCUACAAAUUCCCCAUAAUAUGAGGUAACCAGUAACGGGGUGACGUGUGGGAGGUUGCAAGCAGGAGCAGGCAUGCAGUCUGCAUUAUCUGAGAGUGUUUGGGAGGGGUGGAUCCCUCAGUUCCCCCUGCACCAGGGCUUGCCAGGUCACAGGCUCAAUUCCUGGGUGGGACACUGCCAUUGUACCCUUGAGCAAGAAGGCGAGCUGGAGACGAAGGUCUGCUGUCCAGAUCGGCAGGUGUCACCAACAGCUCGGAUGGUACCAUGUGGUCAGACAGCACCCUCCUGUACAUCAAGGAGCGGAUAACACACUAUGCUGGAAGCCCCAUGGGAAACCUACCCAACCUACCCACCCUACCCAACCUACCUGAAUGCUGGAAUCUGGUCCCACCAUCGUAUGACAAGGCUGAGUGGCUGGUGUUGGGAUCACUGAUAAUGUUUUCCAUAAACUGCGUAGCAUUGCUUGUGGUGAGUCACUUUUUCUUGACAUGAUAUUGCGCAUUAAUUUAACAUG
Anguilla anguilla (European eel) is the source of this 1470-nucleotide long non-coding RNA. RefSeq lists it as uncharacterized. The transcript is spliced from 6 exons. Lineage: Eukaryota; Metazoa; Chordata; Actinopteri; Anguilliformes; Anguillidae. The record is from RefSeq and is a predicted model, not a curated record.